GUGCUUACUUUGCUGGUGUAUAUACUAAAAUCAGAAUGAUACAGAAAACAUUAGCAUGGCCCCUGCUCAAGAAGAACAUGCAAAUUCAUAUUUUUAAUAUAUAUGU
Octodon degus (degu) is the source of this 106-nucleotide small nuclear RNA. NCBI's taxonomy places the organism in Eukaryota, Metazoa, Chordata, Mammalia, Rodentia, Octodontidae. The record is from Ensembl.